This 279-nucleotide ribosomal RNA is filed under the name Salmonella enterica subsp. enterica serovar Oranienburg. RNAcentral describes it as "partial 23S ribosomal RNA". It matches the Rfam family "Bacterial large subunit ribosomal RNA", at positions 342 to 623 of the family's 2925-position model. The record is from RNAcentral. Lineage: Bacteria; Pseudomonadati; Pseudomonadota; Gammaproteobacteria; Enterobacterales; Enterobacteriaceae.
CUGGAAAGGCGCGCGAUACAGGGUGACAGCCCCGUACACAAAAGCGCAUGUGCUGUGAGCUCGAUGAGUAGGGCGGGACACGUGGUAUCCUGUCUGAAUAUGGGGGGACCAUCCUCCAAGGCUAAAUACUCCUGACUGACCGAUAGUGAACCAGUACCGUGAGGGAAAGGCGAAAAGAACCCCGGCGAGGGGAGUGAAAAAGAACCUGAAACCGUGUACGUACAAGCAGUGGGAGCACCCUUUGGGGUGUGACUGCGUACCUUUUGUAUAAUGGGUCAG